Molecule: ribosomal RNA, 463 nt
Filed under: Vreelandella stevensii
Lineage: Bacteria; Pseudomonadati; Pseudomonadota; Gammaproteobacteria; Oceanospirillales; Halomonadaceae
Description: partial 16S ribosomal RNA
Rfam family: Bacterial small subunit ribosomal RNA
Source: RNAcentral
CCUACGGGGGCUGCAGUGGGGAAUAUUGGACAAUGGGCGAAAGCCUGAUCCAGCCAUGCCGCGUGUGUGAAGAAGGCCUUCGGGUUGUAAAGCACUUUCAGUGGGGAAGAAAGCCUUGGGGCUAAUACCCUCGAGGAAGGACAUCACCCACAGAAGAAGCACCGGCUAACUCCGUGCCAGCAGCCGCGGUAAUACGGAGGGUGCGAGCGUUAAUCGGAAUUACUGGGCGUAAAGCGCGCGUAGGCGGUCUGAUAAGCCGGUUGUGAAAGCCCCGGGCUCAACCUGGGAACGGCAUCCGGAACUGUCAGGCUAGAGUGCAGGAGAGGAAGGUAGAAUUCCCGGUGUAGCGGUGAAAUGCGUAGAGAUCGGGAGGAAUACCAGUGGCGAAGGCGGCCUUCUGGACUGACACUGACGCUGAGGUGCGAAAGCGUGGGUAGCAAACAGGAUUAGAUACCCUAGUAUC